UAUUCUCAACCAUAUAGGUUUUUACAACUUGUAUGGCUUGGAUUAUGGGAUUUUGCGGGCUUUCAUUAGUCGGCUGUCCUUAAAUAUAUUAGCAGAGCUUUUGUUGCCAAUCUCUGGUGUGAUAAUUAUCUACGCCGUUGAGAAGUGACUUUAUUGAAGUGCUGCUUCUAAUCGUCUUCACAGACAACUUUUGACA
RNAcentral lists this unclassified non-coding RNA (196 nucleotides) under uncultured Clitopilus. RNAcentral describes it as "sequence contains ITS2". Lineage: Eukaryota; Fungi; Basidiomycota; Agaricomycetes; Agaricales; Entolomataceae. The record is from RNAcentral.